UUACUGGGCUUAAAGAGUUCGUAGGUGGUUGAAAAAGUUGGUGGUGAAAUCCCAGAGCUUAACUCUGGAACUGCCAUCAAAACUUUUCAGCUAGAGUAUGAUAGAGGAAAGCAGAAUUUCUAGUGUAGAGGUGAAAUUCGUAGAUAUUAGAAAGAAUACCAAUUGCGAAGGCAGCUUUCUGGAUCAUUACUGACACUGAGGAACGAAAGCAUGGGUAGCGAAGAGGAUUAGAUACCCUCGUAGUCCAUGCCGUAAACGAUGUGUGUUAGACGUUGGAAAUUUAUUUUCAGUGUCGCAGCGAAAGCGAUAAACACACCGCCUGGGGAGUACGACCGCAAGGUUAAAACUCAAAUGAAUUGACGGGGACCCGCACAAGUAGUGGAGCAUGUGGUUUAAUUCGAAGAUACGCGCAGAACCUUACCAACACUUGACAUGUUCGUCGCGACUCUAAGAGAUUAGAGUUUUCGGUUCGGCCGGACGAAACACAGGUGCUGCAUGGCUGUCGUCAGCUCGUGUCGUGAGAUGUUGGGUUAAGUCCCGCAACGAGCGCAACCCUCACUUUUAGUUGCCAUCAUUUAGUUGGGCACUCUGAAAGAACUGCCAGUGAUAAGCUGGAGGAAGGUGGGGAUGACGUCAAGUCCUCAUGGCCCUUACGUGUUGGGCUACACACGUGCUACAAUGGUAUCUACAACAGGAAGCAAGACUGCGAGGUCAAGCAAAUCCUUAAAAGAUACCUCAGUUCGGAUUGCACUCUGCAACUCGAGUGCAUGAAGCUGGAAUUACUAGUAAUCGUGGAUCAGCGUGCCACGGUGAAUGCGUUCCCGGGUCUUGUACACACCGCCCGUCACACCAUGGGAGUUGGUUCUACCUUAAGGCAAGGUUUCAAACCCUUGACCACGGUAUAGUCAGCGACUGGGGUGAAGUCGUA
Molecule: ribosomal RNA, 928 nt
Filed under: uncultured bacterium
Lineage: Bacteria
Description: bacterial SSU rRNA
Rfam family: Bacterial small subunit ribosomal RNA
Source: RNAcentral